UGGGGAAUAUUGCACAAUGGGGGAAACCCUGAUGCAGCGACGCCGCGUGAAGGAAGAAGUAUUUCGGUAUGUAAAGCUCUAUCAGCAGGGAAGAAGACGACGGUACCUGACUAAGAAGCCCCGGCUAACUACGUGCCAGCAGCCGCGGUAAUACGUAGGGGGCAAGCGUUAUCCGGAUUUACUGGGUGUAAAGGGAGCGUAGACGGUUCAGCAAGUCUGAAGUGAAAGGCGGGGGCUCAACCCCCGGACUGCUUUGGAAACUGUCGGACUAGAGUACCGGAGGGGUAAGCGGAAUUCCUGGUGUAGCGGUGAAAUGCGUAGAUAUCAGGAGGAACACCGGUGGCGAAGGCGGCUUACUGGACGGCAACUGACGUUGAGGCUCGAAAGCGUGGGGAGCAAACAGGAUUAGAUACCCUGGUAGU
This 422-nucleotide ribosomal RNA is filed under the name uncultured Lachnospiraceae bacterium. RNAcentral describes it as "bacterial SSU rRNA". It matches the Rfam family "Bacterial small subunit ribosomal RNA", at positions 355 to 794 of the family's 1533-position model. The record is from RNAcentral. Lineage: Bacteria; Bacillati; Bacillota; Clostridia; Lachnospirales; Lachnospiraceae.